Folsomia candida is the source of this 1400-nucleotide RNA transcript. RefSeq lists it as uncharacterized. The transcript has 2 exons. The record is from RefSeq and is a predicted model, not a curated record. Lineage: Eukaryota; Metazoa; Arthropoda; Collembola; Entomobryomorpha; Isotomidae.
GAACAACAUUCGAGUUCUCCUGUUCCUCUGACGUUCAGAACCAUGGCCCAGUCUCCACUCUAAGAAAUUGAAACCCGAAGUCCUGGAUUGAUAGUUUUUCCAUCCGCCAGUGGCAAAAAUUACGCAGCUACUCUGAACGGAUUUUAUUACGUUCAUCAUUCUUCCGGUCUCCAGAAACACACAAUGCGGUGUACCCGACAUCACAAGGGCUGCCACGGGAAGAUUAACUUGACCCCAUCCUAUAAAUCGCUGAUUUCGGAGACAAUGACGGAAAUAUGUAGUAACAUAAUACUUUAUUUUUUAAUCCUCUUUACUAAAAUUUUUCCCCCAUUAUCAAAUGAAUUCGAUAAAUACGCUGUAUUCCUCUAAAAAACUGAAUACCAGAAUUUGCAAAAUAAUCGGCCUUGUAAUACGUCAUCAAUACAUUCAUCGACUAAAAAAUGAAGACUUUCUCCUCCAUUCACGGAAGAAGAAGAAUUCGUCGUCCGAGUCCAUUUUAUUCCAAUAUUAAACCCACAUAAAUUUUAUGGUGGGUCGGAAUUAGAUUUUAUUCCGACCCACGUCCAAUUUGAUCCAUCUCUUGGUUACCGGGUUGCCCUCCCCGUGAGCAAAAUUGGAUUUUAAUAGGACGAGGAAUCAAGGAACAAGAGGAGAGGAAUGAAUGGAGAACAGGACAAAAUUAGAAUUUCGGUGAAAGUCGACGGCACGAUUUAUUUAUUUCCUUUCUACUUUCACCUACCGAGAACAUAAAUCAGGUACAAAUCCGGACCAGACGAGCACACUGUGUUCUUCGGAUGCUGCUUUCACCAAAAUAUACAUUUCGACGAGUAAUUUUGUUCUAGAGGAUUUUAAAUUGGGGAUGAAAUGAGUGAAAGUACGUGUACAUAAAGCCAUUAAGUCGGUCGCAUUGGAGGUGCAUUAAGUACUCCCUGAUUUUACAUGGAGUGGAGAAUUACUCACUGGGGCGAUGCAAUUUGCGAAAUUAGUGAGGAAAAGGGGUACUCAGGAGGAAGUUAUCAAUUUAAACCUUGUACGAUAAAGAAGUUAUCGAAAAUUUUGUUACCGUCAGGUGAUAAAUAAGUACAUGAAGAAUAAAGAGAAAUGGCUGUUAAAUUACGAACUUUUCGUAUAUCGAGGUUGACAAAAGUUUUAAAUUAUCAAAUACUUGACAUUAGUAUGUACAAAAUGAUUACAUUCCAUGAAAAAAGUUUCCCUGUUCAAAAAUAUUGCUUUAAUAUGAAAUAUUAAAGCUUCUUAAAAAUUUGGUUUUUAUUUGAAUAUCGAAAACUCCAAUUUUGAUCGAUAAUCUUUCUGUAACAUUUCGUUCGCUUGCAUUACAAAUUGUUAUCAAUAGCAUUAAAAAUUGUUAUUUUGCCUUGUUAAAUACACAUUCAACAACC